GACAGAGGGUGCAAACGUUGCUCGGAAUUACUGGGCGUAAAGCGCGUGUAGGCGGGCCGAUAAGUCAGAUGUGAAAUCCCUGAGCUCAACUCAGGAACUGCAUUUGAAACUGCCGGUCUAGAGUGGUGGAGAGGGAAGCGGAAUUCCUGGUGUAGAGGUGAAAUUCGUAGAUAUCAGGAGGAACACCGGUGGCGAAGGCGGCUCUCUGGACAGGUACUGACGCUGAGACGCGAAAGCGUGGGUAGCAAACAGG
This 253-nucleotide ribosomal RNA is filed under the name uncultured bacterium. RNAcentral describes it as "partial 16S ribosomal RNA". It matches the Rfam family "Bacterial small subunit ribosomal RNA", at positions 524 to 776 of the family's 1533-position model. The record is from RNAcentral.